AAUGCUCUACGUCUAUGACCUAUAUUUUUUUGUUCUUUCUAUCUAGAAGUAUUCACACAAUGCGUGUUGAAAUGGUGAUUGUGCACUCCUUGUGUUGCUUCUGUUUUGUUAAAAUCAAGAAGAAAUUGGCGAUACCAGGUGGCAGCACUGGUUGUCUUUGUUAUCCACUUUUUUGGCACUGAACAAUGGCAUAUUCUUCGGAAGAUGGAUGAAGGAAAAGCAAACUCCUUUCGCAUGUGCUCGGUUGGGCGCGUCGAAACAAAGGUUUUUUUUGUGACCUCACGCUGCACGGUAUGACCUAGCCUGCAGCGCAUGAGGGCAACAACUAAAUGGGUUCUAUGAACCUUGUUGUCGCAAUUACCUAGUGUUGCGCCCAGCGAGACACAUUUCAUUGGAUCAAAUCUUCCAUCUUGCCUUAAGCCAAUAUGCUCGCGAUGUCCCGAAGUGCGGAAAUUACUUCUUUGACAUUGUUCCUGUCAGUGGCAAUGUUAGUGCAGGCAAGGUGGUAUAACCCAGUUCCUCUCGUAAAUGGCAGUUGCAUCAUCAAUACGACUGAAGUUCCUCUCGGUACUUCUGUUGACCUCAGCGACCCCUGCGUGUGUUUGUACUGCAAUCGACUUAAUAUGACUCAUGGCGAUUUAGUAACCAUUACAUGCGUAAGUGUGGCCGCCAGGCCACCCUUCAAAGUCGUGCCCGGUGGAGUUGGGGUCUUUCCGGACUGUUGCCCGAGGAUAAUUUGCGACGACAACUUCCCAUCCUCUUGGUAUGCUUGAAGCUGCAGAGGAUUAUCGGACUCGUUUUUUCUUUCAUUGUCAAACAUAGAGAAUGUACCGUGGCGUUUCAUAACACAUGCUUUCUCACCUAACAUAUCUCUGCGAUGGAAGUACUGCACGUGGUAUUCCGUUCAGCGUUCCGAAUAACCAGCACAAAAAUCCAGCAACUAGUGUUCUUUGUGGCCCCAGUUUUGUAAUUGUUAACUUAUGGAAAGUAAAUAAACAUAUUAACAUUUACGUGUAGGUAAAAUAUUAAAGCAAUAAAAUUUUAUAAAUGAA
Molecule: long non-coding RNA, 1052 nt
Organism: Dermacentor silvarum
Lineage: Eukaryota; Metazoa; Arthropoda; Arachnida; Ixodida; Ixodidae
Exons: 3
Source: RefSeq, a predicted model, not a curated record